CAGUCGCCGCGGUAAUACGAGGGGGGCAAGCGUUGUUCGGAAUUAUUGGGCGUAAAGGGUGCGUAGGCGGUUCAGCAAGUCUCGUGUGAAAUCCCCGGGCUCAACCUGGGAACUGCAUUUGUGACUGGCAAGCUAGAGUAUGGCAGAGGGGGGUGGAAUUCCGCGUGUAGCAGUGAAAUGCGUAGAUAUGCGGAGGAACACCGAUGGCGAAGGCAGCCCCCUGGGCCAAUACUGACGCUCAUGCACGAAAGCGUGGGGAGCAAACAGGAUUAGAUACCCGCGUAGUCCCUGUCUCUUAUAC
RNAcentral lists this ribosomal RNA (301 nucleotides) under uncultured bacterium. Its description in RNAcentral is "partial 16S ribosomal RNA". It matches the Rfam family "Bacterial small subunit ribosomal RNA", at positions 509 to 807 of the family's 1533-position model. The record is from RNAcentral.